This 465-nucleotide ribosomal RNA is filed under the name uncultured bacterium. Its description in RNAcentral is "partial 16S ribosomal RNA". It matches the Rfam family "Bacterial small subunit ribosomal RNA", at positions 28 to 507 of the family's 1533-position model. The record is from RNAcentral.
GACGAACGCUGGCGGCGUGCUUAACACAUGCAAGUCGUACGGUAAGGCCCUUUCGGGGGUACACGAGUGGCGAACGGGUGAGUAACACGUGAGUAACCUGCCCACAACUUUGGGAUAACGCUAGGAAACUGGUGCUAAUACUGGAUAUGUGCCCCUGCUUCAUGGUGGGGGUUGGAAAGCUCCGGCGGUUGUGGAUGGACUCGCGGCCUAUCAGCUUGUUGGUGGGGUAGUGGCCUACCAAGGCGGCGACGGGUAGCCGGCCUGAGAGGGUGACCGGCCACAUUGGGACUGAGAUACGGCCCAGACACCUACGGGAGGCAGCAGUGGGGAAUAUUGCACAAUGGGCGCAAGCCUGAUGCAGCAGCGCCGCGUGCGGGAUGACGGCCUUCGGGUUGUAAACCGCUUUCAGCAGGGACGAAGCUUUUUGUGACGGUACCUGCAGAAGAAGCACCGGCUAACUACGUG